AAUUAUAAAAUAAUAAUUGAUUUAAAUUGAAAAAUUAUAAAAAGUAUCCACCAGUAUUAAAAUUUUUAUCUGCUGAAAUAAGAGUUUUAUAGGGUCAGUGAUGGAAAACUUGCAGGUCAAUGGGCAUCAACCUUUAAGGUUGGUAAAUACUUUGAAAAUGAAGCAUAUACUGUAAUACUACCUGCCAAGUACUGACAUUGGCUUGUGUUGUUCAGGUGACACAGUUGUGUAAAAUUGGAGGAAAAAACUUCAAAGACCGUACAAGAAGAAUGCUGGACAGUGUUUUCAAAAAUUCCCUGAUGUCUGCAUUCAACAUGAAAGGAGGAGGUCCACUACAGAAGAAGUCCUUUCAAUCAACUGCCUUAUUCUCAGUCAUCAGAGAUGCAGUGAUGACCAGCUUUCCAUCAGCUACGGAAUGUGAAAUAAAAAAUGCUAUUUCUAAUCAUUUCAAACAAGCACCAGGGAGGGCAGGGGGUGGGGGUUAUGGAUCUAAAGUAAACAGUUAAUUCUUAAAAAUUUUAAUAUCUUAAUUUGUUUUACAUAUUUUUCCAAUGUUUUAUUUGUUCAUUUUUAUGUUUGAAUGUUGUCCAAGUUGUUGUUGUCUAUAUAAUUGUUCAAAAUAAAUCCCUUUAUAUUCAA
Long non-coding RNA from Carassius carassius (crucian carp), 639 nucleotides. RefSeq lists it as uncharacterized. NCBI's taxonomy places the organism in Eukaryota, Metazoa, Chordata, Actinopteri, Cypriniformes, Cyprinidae. The transcript is spliced from 3 exons. The record is from RefSeq and is a predicted model, not a curated record.